UGGGGAAUAUUGGACAAUGGGCGGAAGCCUGAUCCAGCCAUGCCGCGUGUGUGAAGAAGGCCUUUUGGUUGUAAAGCACUUUAAGCGAGGAGGAGGCUACUUGGAUUAAUACUCUAGGAUAGUGGACGUUACUCGCAGAAUAAGCACCGGCUAACUCUGUGCCAGCAGCCGCGGUAAUACAGAGGGUGCGAGCGUUAAUCGGAUUUACUGGGCGUAAAGCGUGCGUAGGCGGCUUCUUAAGUCGGAUGUGAAAUCCCUGAGCUUAACUUAGGAAGUGCAUUCGAUACUGGGAAGCUAGAGUAUGGGAGAGGAUGGUAGAAUUCCAGGUGUAGCGGUGAAAAGCGUAGAGAUCUGGAUGAAUACCGAUGGCGAAGGCAGCCAUCUGGCCUAAUACUGACGCAGAGGUACGAAAGCAUGGGGAGCAAACAGG
RNAcentral lists this ribosomal RNA (430 nucleotides) under Bacillota bacterium. RNAcentral's name for it is "Firmicutes bacterium partial 16S ribosomal RNA". It matches the Rfam family "Bacterial small subunit ribosomal RNA", at positions 355 to 776 of the family's 1533-position model. The record is from RNAcentral. Lineage: Bacteria; Bacillati; Bacillota.